Molecule: long non-coding RNA, 162 nt
Organism: Cydia amplana
Lineage: Eukaryota; Metazoa; Arthropoda; Insecta; Lepidoptera; Tortricidae
Exons: 2
Source: RefSeq, a predicted model, not a curated record
GUCGGAUUUCAGGGUUUGUCCAAUGGCUAAGGUCACCCUGUAUAGGUUUAUUACGAUAUUUAUUUAUAUAUUAUAUAUAUCGUUGUCCGAGUACCCAUAACACAAGCCUUCUUGAGCUUACCGUGGGGCUUAGUAAAUUUGUGUAAAAAUGUCCUAUAAUAU